UACGUAGGGUGCGAGCGUUAAUCGGAAUUACUGGGCGUAAAGCGUGCGUAGGCGGUUGGCAAAGUCAGCUGUGAAAGCCCCGGGCUUAACCUGGGAAUGGCGGUUGAAACUAGUCGACUGGAAUCUGGCAGAGGGGGGUGGAAUUCCACGUGUAGCAGUGAAAUGCGUAGAGAUGUGGAGGAACACCGAUGGCGAAGGCAGCCCCCUGGGCUGAGAUUGACGCUCAGGCACGAAAGCGUGGGGAGCAAACAGG
Molecule: ribosomal RNA, 253 nt
Filed under: uncultured prokaryote
Description: partial 16S ribosomal RNA
Rfam family: Bacterial small subunit ribosomal RNA
Source: RNAcentral